UUUUGUUAAAUUUAAAACGAUCUCACAAAAAAAAUUUACCUAAAGUCACUAAUACUUUAGAACCGAUAUGCAUGUAGUGCAUGUUUUGUAAUCAUCUUUUUAUUUUGUAAAGUCAAUUUUUUUCUGAAUCAUAAUCGUGACUUUACAACAAGCUCAAGCAUAUCCUUCAAAGAUUCUGAAUCUUAAUCCUAAAUUGGUAUAAAUGUGGUCAUUUAUGGCUUAUGCAGACAAUUCCUGAAGUGCACACUAAAUAUCUUUGAUCAACAAAUAAUGACAUUGCGGUUCCAGUCAUAUAAGAGUUGGCUCAUAAGCAACAGCACGUGGCAUGCGCGAGGAUCACAGGCCAAGAGGCCAACGGAGACGUUUUGGUCGACUUUAGGAGUCAACGUUUGUGGGUGUGUGGAUGGAGCAGAGAGCAAGAUUUGAAUUACAAAAGCUUGUAGGUUAGAAUGAAUUAAAUGUGACAAAUUUCUCGUUGAAAGUGUCCAUUUUAGUGCAUAUUACUCAGACGCCUUUUUUAUUUUAAGGUUAUGAUUACGUUAGAAUUUAUUUAUGGUAGAGUACGAAUCUCAGUCACACACUCAAAGUGAUAAAUAGUAAAAAAUUCAUUAUAAGUCAUUAUUUAUUAUUUAUCACUUUACGUGUGUGGUCAAAAUUCGUGCUCCAUUGUAAGUGAACUCCAACAUAAUCAAACCCUUAUUUUAAUCAUCUUUAAUAUCACAUUAUACUCUAUUGAUAUUAUAAUAAGAUUAACAAAUACAUUUAGAACAUAGUCCAAAGUUAAUUAGCAUGUUUUAAAAAUUUAUAACUAAUAUAGAUGUAUUCCCCUAGAAUUGGCUUAGGGAGCAGCUGCGCGGUGGCAGUGCAGCUGGCCCAAACAGGUAUGUAAUCUCCAUCACACUUAUAGAUAUUUUUUAUAAAAAAAAAAUAAUGAAUCUGUAAUAAGUACUCAAACUCAGAUUCUUUAAGAUAAAAGUUUUUUUUCACCCAACCAAUAGUCUAACUAGUUAAUUUAUCUUUGUAGUUUACUAAUAGCGUAGGGUUAAGGGUUAUCCUAACUUUAAUUUUAAGUUAUUUAAUAAUAAAUAUUAAAAGUCAAAAUAGUAUCGAAUGAUGACUAUUCACCGGCUAUUAAAUUUCUUAAAGCCAAUAAUGUAAUUUUAAAUAUACAUAUUCUAAUUUUUUUUAUCGAAUUCCAACCCACAAAAGGCGCAGACCAAUUUUAUGUUAGCGUAUUUAUCGUGUAAUGAAAUGGUCAAAAUAUCGAACAUUCAUAUCGUGAUUUAGAGCAAAUGAGUGGGCGCGGUCUGGUGGUGCGGUGGUGGUGGGGACAGAACACAUUCACGAAUCUUACUACGUAAACGAUGACACCUAAGCUAGCGUGUGAAGCGGAAAAGGUAAUUUUGUCAUCUUGCUCGUAAAAGGCUGAAUCUGCCAAAAGCCGUAAGGUUGGCCUUUUUUGGCACGUGUGGUCCAUGACAACCGAUGCGGUGCCAUGCCCAUGCCUUUGAACUCCGUUGGUGUUUUCUUGUCGGCUCUUAUUGAUUUGUUUUUUUAAUCUUGUCUUUUUAUUAUUAUUUUAUUACCAUUUAUUUUUGUUAUAUUUAUAAUCCCCAUAAAUUAAUAAUACAUUUAUAAAUGUAUAAUACAAAUUGUAAUUAAUUAUCAUAAUAAGAUAAUAAUUAUGCUAUUGUCAAGUGCAAUGCAACACACUGCGAAUAUGAAUCUUUUAGUGUUGAAUGAUUUUGAAUUGAAUACAAUAUUUACUAACGAAUUCUAAUACGGUCAUGCACUGAAUAAAUAAUUCAAGUGUUAGUUAAUAAUUAGUAAAUAAAAAAUAAAAAAUUAAAUAUUACCAAUAUACUAUCAUGAAAAGACACGUAAAAAGUGAUUAAUAAAAUUCAAAUUAGGAGAAAAUUUUAUUUCUACCCACACACAAUUCAACUCUUUUGUGUACGGUCCAAGUCUUAAGUUUUAAAACUUGUUAGUCUUCCCAUUAAGCUUUGAUCUCGAGUGUCUAGACACAUUUGCCUUGUAAAUCGUAAUACGGCCCCAGCACACAAGUUUUUGGAUUUUUUUUGUUCAAUCGUUACAGUCUACACAUAAUCACAUUUAAAAAAAAUCAAAAGAGUGGUGCUAAGUAGAGAGAGAGAGCUGAGAGAACGGUGAGAAAAAUUUGUUCUCUCUCUCUCUAUCAUUUUUUUAAUUAUUUCUUUCAGUGUUUUCUCAACUUUCUCUCUACCUAGUAUUUUUCAAUCUAAAAAUGUGCUUGAUGCACUUGUUUGAUAGAAAGUCUCUCUUCGGUUGGUGUCUGGUAACCCAGCAAUUAUAUGUUUCAUAAAUUCGCAUGCUCUUUGUAUUAUUAAUUUUUCCCUCUUUAAUGCCACUUUUGAAAUUUGUGAAUGACUGAUUAACUUUAGUCUCCUUUGACCAAAAGCGGCCUUGAGCCCUUGAAGUAGUGGAGGAAAGUGGGCGAGAGGCGAGAGCCAACCAAACCAACUGGGAGAAUGAAUUAUGAAGAUGCAUUGCUGCUAUCCGCAAAAGCUCACUCAGCUGACUCAUGUCAUGUGACAAAGUAUAAGCAGGCGAGGCAGCCAUUACUAAUGACAGCUACCAGCUUUUGGGAGUUAAUGUAAAGACAAACCCUAACCCUAAGUAAUUGAAAGCCUAGUUUUAUUUAGUUUUAAAUGCUUUUCAUUUAUGAGCCCGUGGUAGAGCAGACAUGGACGGUUCCCUAUUUAUGUGUUCUCCUCAAAAGUCACCAGUUUUACUCUUUACUUUUACAGAAAGGCUGACCCCAGGUUUUGCCUUUCGCUUGUUGGGUCAUGCUAUGGUACAGCUAGGGAGUCAAAUGCAUCAUGCUGAACUUAUAAAUUUUCAUUUGCUAAUUAUCUCUUGCUUGGGGCUUUUUCUGUUACAAAGCUUGUUUUAUUUGCUAUCUAUAACGAAAAUUUUGAUAUUUAAAAAUGAGAUUAUAAGAACAAUUUACACCAUACGUUGACCAUAAGUAUCGCUGUUAUUGCCGUUAAGAAUUGCUAUCAAUAAUAAUUUGUUGCUGGCUCACUCCAACUUAGGGCAAGGGAUGUCAAGCCUCUCUCCAUUUGUAAAUGUUGAAGAAGGCUCACUUCCAAACAAAUUGGGAAUAUACAUCAAAAUUGGGCUUGUAGGGUAAUGGUUUUUAUGACGAGUUAUGGUAUUUAACUCCCGCAUUAUAUCUCAUCAGCCCCCAUUAAUAAAUUUUAUACUAAUAUCUUUUUUAUCCUUUUUAUAAAAUAUUUUAAAAGGGUAAAUAGUUUUUAAAUGCAUCACCGUGAUAAUUUCUAUUAAUAUUUAAUUUAGUUAAUCUAAUUUUUUAAACCCUAAUUUCUUUUUAACUUUUUAAAUUAUUUUCUCUUU
This 3396-nucleotide long non-coding RNA is filed under the name Citrus x clementina. RNAcentral describes it as "Citrus clementina (C. clementina) long non-coding RNA (CCLE_LNC002854)". The record is from RNAcentral. Lineage: Eukaryota; Viridiplantae; Streptophyta; Magnoliopsida; Sapindales; Rutaceae.